UAAGUGACUAAGCGUACACGGUGGAUGCCUUGGCAGUCAGAGGCGAUGAAAGACGUAGUAACUUGCGAUAAGCCCAGAUUAGGUAGUAACAACCAUUUGAGUCUGGGAUUUCUGAAUGGGGAAACCCACUUACAUAAGUAAGUAUCAUUAAUUGAAUACAUAGGUUAAUGAGGCGAACCGGGGGAACUGAAACAUCUAAGUACCCCGAGGAAAAGAAAUCAACCGAGAUUCCGAAAGUAGCGGCGAGCGAAAUUGGACUAGCCCUUAAGCUUUACACGCGUUAGACGAACGGUCUGGAAAGUCCGACGAUACAGGGUGAUAGUCCCGUAGUUGACGACGUGUGUUCAGUGAAAUCGAGUAGGGCGGGACACGUGAUAUCCUGUCUGAAUAUGGGGGGACCAUCCUCCAAGGCUAAAUACUACUGACUGACCGAUAGUGAACCAGUACCGUGAGGGAAAGGCGAAAAGAACCCCUGUGAGGGGAGUGAAAUAGAACCUGAAACCGUGUACGUACAAGCAGUAGGAGCAGGCUUUGUCCUGUGACUGCGUACCUUUUGUAUAAUGGGUCAGCGACUUAUAUUCAGUGGCAAGGUUAACCAUCUAGGGGAGCCGUAGGGAAACCGAGUCUUAACUGGGCGUUCAGUCUCUGGAUAUAGACCCGAAACCAGGUGAUCUAGCCAUGGGCAGGUUGAAGGUUGAGUAACAUCAACUGGAGGACCGAACCGACUAAUGUUGAAAAAUUAGCGGAUGACUUGUGGCUAGGGGUGAAAGGCCAAUCAAACCUGGAGAUAGCUGGUUCUCCCCGAAAGCUAUUUAGGUAGCGCCUCGGACGAAUACUACUGGGGGUAGAGCACUGUUAAGGCUAGGGGGUCAUCCCGACUUACCAACCCUUUGCAAACUCCGAAUACCAGUAAGUACUAUCCGGGAGACACACGGCGGGUGCUAACGUCCGUCGUGGAGAGGGAAACAACCCAGACCGCCAGCUAAGGUCCCAAAUUACUACUAAGUGGGAAACGAUGUGGGAAGGCUCAGACAGCCAGGAUGUUGGCUUAGAAGCAGCCAUCAUUUAAAGAAAGCGUAAUAGCUCACUGGUCGAGUCGGCCUGCGCGGAAGAUGUAACGGGGCUAAGUAGUAAACCGAAGCUGCGGCAAUGUGCUUUUGCACAUUGGGUAGGGGAGCGUUCUGUAAGCGGUUGAAGGUGUGUGGUAACGCAUGCUGGACGUAUCAGAAGUGCGAAUGCUGACAUGAGUAACGAUAAAGGGGGUGAAAAACCUCCUCGCCGGAAGACCAAGGGUUCCUGUCCAACGUUAAUCGGGGCAGGGUAAGUCGACCCCUAAGGCGAGGCCGAAAGGCGUAGUCGAUGGGAAACGGGUUAAUAUUCCCGUACUUCUUACAAUUGCGAUGGGGGGGACGGAGAAGGCUAGGUGGGCCUGGCGACGGUUGUCCAGGUUCAAGUGCGUAGGCUUAAGAGUUAGGUAAAUCCGGCUCUUUUUAAGGCUGAGACACGACGUCGAGCACCUACGGGUGUGAAGUCAUUGAUGCCAUGCUUCCAGGAAAAGCCUCUAAGCUUCAGAUUGUAAGGAAUCGUACCCCAAACCGACACAGGUGGUCGGGUAGAGAAUACCAAGGCGCUUGAGAGAACUCGGGUGAAGGAACUAGGCAAAAUGGUACCGUAACUUCGGGAGAAGGUACGCUCUCGACGGUGAAGUCCCUCGCGGAUGGAGCUAUUGAGAGUCGCAGAUACCAGGUGGCUGCAACUGUUUAUUAAAAACACAGCACUGUGCAAAAUCGUAAGAUGACGUAUACGGUGUGACGCCUGCCCGGUGCCGGAAGGUUAAUUGAUGGGGUUAGACUUCGGUCGAAGCUCUUGAUCGAAGCCCCGGUAAACGGGCGGCCGUAACUAUAACGGUCCUAAGGUAGCGAAAUUCCUUGUCGGGUAAGUUCCGACCUGCACGAAUGGCGUAAUGAUGGCCACGCUGUCUCCACCCGAGACUCAGUGAAAUUGAAAUCGCUGUGAAGAUGCAGUGUACCCGCGGCUAGACGGAAAGACCCCGUGAACCUUUACUACAGCUUGGCACUGAACAUUGACCCUACAUGUGUAGGAUAGGUGGGAGGCUUUGAAGCACGUACGCCAGUAUGUGUGGAGCCGUCCUUGAAAUACCACCCUUGUAGUGUUGAUGUUCUAACGUUGACCCCUUAUCGGGGUUGCGGACAGUGCCUGGUGGGUAGUUUGACUGGGGCGGUCUCCUCCCAAAGAGUAACGGAGGAGCACGAAGGUGGGCUAAUCACGGUUGGACAUCGUGAGGUUAGUGCAAUGGCAUAAGCCCGCUUGACUGCGAGAAUGACAAUUCGAGCAGGUGCGAAAGCAGGUCAUAGUGAUCCGGUGGUUCUGAAUGGAAGGGCCAUCGCUCAACGGAUAAAAGGUACUCCGGGGAUAACAGGCUGAUACCGCCAAGAGUUUCAUAUCGACGGCGGUGUUUGGCACCUCGAUGUCGGCUCAUCACAUCCUGGGGCUGAAGUCGGUCCCCAAAAGGGUAUGGCUGUUCGCCAUUUAAAGUGGUACGCGAGCUGGGUUUAGAACGUCGUGAGAAGUUCGGUUCCUAUCGCCGUGGGCG
This 2614-nucleotide ribosomal RNA is filed under the name Vibrio parahaemolyticus VPCR-2010. Its description in RNAcentral is "bacterial LSU rRNA". It matches the Rfam family "Bacterial large subunit ribosomal RNA". Lineage: Bacteria; Pseudomonadati; Pseudomonadota; Gammaproteobacteria; Vibrionales; Vibrionaceae. The record is from RNAcentral.